UCCCCUAGUAACUGCGAGUGAAGCGGGAAAAGCUCAAAUUUAAAAUCUGGCGGCUUUGGUCGUCCGAGUUGUAUUCUAGAGAAGUGUUUUCCGCGUUGGACCGUGUAUAAGUCUCUUGGAACAGAGCGUCAUAGAGGGUGAGAAUCCCGUCUUUGACACGGACUACCAAUGCUUUGUGAUGCGCUCUCAAAGAGUCGAGUUGUUUGGGAAUGCAGCUCAAAAUGGGUGGUAAAUUCCAUCUAAAGCUAAAUAUUGGCGAGAGACCGAUAGCGAACAAGUACCGUGAGGGAAAGAUGAAAAGCACUUUGGAAAGAGAGUUAAACAGUACGUGAAAUUGCUGAAAGGGAAACGCUUGAAGUCAGUCGCGUUAUCUAGAACUCAACCAGGCUUGCUUGGCGUAUUUUCUAGUUAACGGGCCAGCAUCAGUUUUGACCGCAGGAAAAAGGCCAGGGAAAUGUGGCACCUUCGGGUGUGUUAUAGUCUCUGGUCAUAUACUGUGAUUGGGACUGAGGACCGCAGCACGCGCAAGUUGUGCUUAGGAUGCUGGCGUAAUGGCUUUAAACGACCCGUCUUGAAACACGGACCAAGGAGUCUAACAAACCUGCGAGUAUUUGGGUGGUAAACCCGAGUGCGUAAUGAAAGUGAAAGUUGGGAUCCCUGUCGCGGGGAGCACCGACGCCCGGACCAGACCUUCUGUGACGGAUCUGCGGUAGAGCAUGUUUGUUGGGACCCGAAAGAUGGUGAACUAUGCCUGAAUAGGGUGAAGCCAGAGGAAACUCUGGUGGAGGCUCGUAGCGAUUCUGACGUGCAAAUCGAUCGUCAAAUUUGGGUAUAGGGGCGAAAGAC
Molecule: ribosomal RNA, 846 nt
Filed under: Flavodon ambrosius
Lineage: Eukaryota; Fungi; Basidiomycota; Agaricomycetes; Polyporales; Irpicaceae
Description: eukaryotic LSU rRNA
Rfam family: Eukaryotic large subunit ribosomal RNA
Source: RNAcentral